This 439-nucleotide ribosomal RNA is filed under the name uncultured Russulaceae. RNAcentral's name for it is "LSU rRNA". It matches the Rfam family "Eukaryotic large subunit ribosomal RNA", at positions 47 to 479 of the family's 3401-position model. The record is from RNAcentral. Lineage: Eukaryota; Fungi; Basidiomycota; Agaricomycetes; Russulales; Russulaceae.
UAAGCGGAGGAAAAGAAACUAACAAGGAUUCCCCUAGUACUGCGAGUGAAGCGGGAAAAGCUCAAAUUUGGAAUCUGGUGGUCUUUGGCCAUCCGAGUUGUAAUUUAGAGAAGCGUCUUCCGCGCUGGACCGUGCACAAGUCUCCUGGAAUGGAGCGUCAUAGAGGGUGAGAAUCCCGUCUUUGGCACGGAAUCCCAGGGCUUCUGUGAUGCGCUCUCGACGAGUCGAGUUGUUUGGGAAUGCAGCUCAAAAUGGGUGGUGAACUCCAUCUAAAGCUAAAUAUUGGCGAGAGACCGAUAGCGAACAAGUACCGUGAGGGAAAGAUGAAAAGCACUUUGGAAAGAGAGUGAAACAGUACGUGAAAUUGUUGAAAGGGAAACGCUUGAAGUCAGUCGCGUCGACCGAGACUCAGCCUUGCCUCGGCUUGGUGUACUUCUNG